GCUAUUGUGGUGUAGUGGUUUGAGUGCUGGACUACAACUCUGUUGAUCAGGGUUUGAUUCCCUGCUUGACCA
This 72-nucleotide transfer RNA is filed under the name Phrynosoma platyrhinos (Desert horned lizard). RNAcentral's name for it is "tRNA-OTHER". Lineage: Eukaryota; Metazoa; Chordata; Lepidosauria; Squamata; Phrynosomatidae. The record is from RNAcentral.